CACUGUCCCACGUAGGGCUCGCCGUGCAGAGUGGAUGGAUACGGAGAGCGUCUGUCUUCUAGAUUGUGCACCUGUUUAGUGUGGCCCCAGAGUGAGGCUAGGGCUGUGCAUGUCACACACACGAAGAGACACGGUGCUUUCUGGGUUCCAUUAGCAGGUCUUGAUUUGGCCAGUCAACAGUCUGAAAGUUCAGGAUCUCCUGAUCAGAACCAGGAAGUCCAUAUGCAGGCUGCACUGAAGGUCACGCUUUUGAAAUCCUGCCAGCAAAAGGAAGAGAUCCUCAGAGGAGAAGAAGGCAAGACAUAUAGCUACUGACAUACUGGUAUAGAGAAAAACAGAGGCAGGAGGUGGUACAGUGUGGCCAGCACCAGCCCAGAUUCAAGCUGUCUUUCAAGAAUGGACAAUAAGGGGCUGGAGAGAUGGCUCAGUGGUUAAGAUAACUGACUGCUCUUCCAGAGGUCCUGAGUUCAAUUCCCAGCAAUCACAUGAUGGCUCACAACCAUCUACAAUGGGAUCAGAUGCCUUCUUCUGGUGUGUCUGAAGACAGCAACAGUGUACUCACAUACAUUAAGUAAAUAAAUAAAUUUAAAAAGAAAAGAAAAGAA
RNAcentral lists this long non-coding RNA (605 nucleotides) under Mus pahari (shrew mouse). RNAcentral describes it as "lncRNA (MGP_PahariEiJ_G0012500.1)". Lineage: Eukaryota; Metazoa; Chordata; Mammalia; Rodentia; Muridae. The record is from RNAcentral.